UAAUAAUAAUAAUAAUAAUAAUAAUAAUCAUCAUCAUCAUCAUCAAUAGCAAUAAAUCGGAAUCGAUGGUGGCCAUCAUCAAACAAUGUCGAGAUCAUCAUCAACAUCGUGAAGACGGAUAGUGAAGAUUGCAGUGGAGAUGAGCGAUGAAGAAGAUAACAAAGAUCAACGACGAUGAUAACGUGAAUAGUGAUAAUGACAACGUGACCGGCGACAAUGAAGAUAAUGAUGGUGUUAGCCUAUAUGGCUAUAAAUAUUGAUUUU
RNAcentral lists this long non-coding RNA (264 nucleotides) under Citrus x clementina. RNAcentral describes it as "Citrus clementina (C. clementina) long non-coding RNA (CCLE_LNC001967)". The record is from RNAcentral. Lineage: Eukaryota; Viridiplantae; Streptophyta; Magnoliopsida; Sapindales; Rutaceae.